Manis pentadactyla (Chinese pangolin) is the source of this 1188-nucleotide long non-coding RNA. RefSeq lists it as uncharacterized. Lineage: Eukaryota; Metazoa; Chordata; Mammalia; Pholidota; Manidae. The transcript is spliced from 2 exons. The record is from RefSeq and is a predicted model, not a curated record.
CCCUCGUCGCCGCGCCACCGCCCCAGGCCGAGGCGCUUGCGGACCCCCACUCUGUUUGCUUUGGCCUUUUCCUUCCUUCCCUCUGGGUUUUUAGCGCACGGCGGUGACCGGGACCUUCGCCCCAGGCGUCGGCUCACAGGAUAGAAGAACACAUUAGAUGACCCUGUGGAGAUGUCAUCAGCAAAAUCUAGAUUCUGGAAGCAAAUUUACUCAGUUUCUACAAUAAUGUUCCAAAAAGAAAAAAAGAAGAAGGAAGGAGAGAGGUGAAGAAACCAACAGAUGAAAAAAUGACUUAACCACCUGCAAUGAAUGGAUGGACCUUAAUUAGAUUCUUAAUCAAAGAACAAACUAUUUUAAAAAUAAAUUUUCAUGAGACAAUCUGGGGAAAUGUGACACUAACAAGAUAUUUGAUGACAUUAACAAAUGAUUAUUUUAGAUGUUAUAAUGAAAUCACAUACAUACACAUGUUUUGGGGGCUCUUACUUUUCAGAGAUAAUGCCAAAAUAUUUACCAAUGAAAUAACAUAAAGUCCGGGGUUGAGUCAAAACAAUUUGGGGUAGGGGGAAUGGACAGGGCCUAUAUAUGAAGUAGUAUCACCUAUGGAUUAAUGAUAACCAUAGAAACUGGGUGAUGGGUAUGUGGGGGUUUAUUAGUCUCUUUCUUUUGAAAUGCUUGAAAAAUUCUUUAAUGAAAACUUUUAAAAUUACAAAUGUUCAUACCAUUUGCCCUUAACCCAGCAUUUCCCCUUAUAGGAAAUUAUCUUAUAGUUAGAAUUGAUCAUGUGUAAAGUGAUAUAAGAGUAAUCACUGUAGAAUUGUUUGUAACAGCAAAAAACUGGACCAUGUUAUAUGCUCACCAGCAGGGCCUAUUUAAAUAUUGUACAGUACACUUUAGAAUUCUUUCUAUAUGCAACUGUUAAAAAGUCAUAUUCGUUGACUUAUGAUCUCCAGCGGAAGGCACAAUAAAGAACACUUUAGAUAGCAACAAGCUAUUUGUGUUAAUAAAGAAAGGAAGAGAGGAAGACAGUAGGCACAUAAAAACUGGUUGCCUCUGGGGAGAUGGGGGUGGCUGGGAGUCAGGAACAGAAGGGAGAUUAAUUUUUACUAUGUACCCUUUAUAAAAUUUAAGCUAUAUAAAUGAAUUAUCUAUUCAAAAAAUAUUUAAAAAUUUAAGCUACACAUGCUCUUU